RNAcentral lists this ribosomal RNA (1123 nucleotides) under Lophiostoma caudatum. RNAcentral's name for it is "SSU rRNA". It matches the Rfam family "Eukaryotic small subunit ribosomal RNA", at positions 31 to 1165 of the family's 1831-position model. The record is from RNAcentral. Lineage: Eukaryota; Fungi; Ascomycota; Dothideomycetes; Pleosporales; Lophiostomataceae.
CUGUCUCAAAGAUUAAGCCAUGCAUGUCUAAGUAUAAGCAAUUAUACCGUGAAACUGCGAAUGGCUCAUUAAAUCAGUUAUCGUUUAUUUGAUAGUACCUUACUACUUGGAUAACCGUGGUAAUUCUAGAGCUAAUACAUGCUGAAAACCCUGACUUCGGAAAGGGUGUAUUUAUUAGAUAAAAAACCAAUGCCCUUUGGGCUCUUUGGUGAUUCAUGAUAACUUAACGGAUCGCAUGGCCUUGCGCCGGCGACGGUUCAUUCAAAUUUCUGCCCUAUCAACUUUCGAUGGUAAGGUAUUGGCUUACCAUGGUUUCAACGGGUAACGGGGAAUUAGGGUUCGAUUCCGGAGAGGGAGCCUGAGAAACGGCUACCACAUCCAAGGAAGGCAGCAGGCGCGCAAAUUACCCAAUCCCGACACGGGGAGGUAGUGACAAUAAAUACUGAUACAGGGCUCUUUUGGGUCUUGUAAUCGGAAUGAGUACAAUUUAAACCUCUUAACGAGGAACAAUUGGAGGGCAAGUCUGGUGCCAGCAGCCGCGGUAAUUCCAGCUCCAAUAGCGUAUAUUAAAGUUGUUGCAGUUAAAAAGCUCGUAGUUGAAUCUUGGGCCUGGCUGGCCGGUCCGCCUCACCGCGUGUACUGGUCUGGCCGGGCCUUUCCUUCUGGAGAACCUCAUGCCCUUCAGUGGGUGUGUUGGGGAACCAGGACUUUUACUUUGAAAAAAUUAGAGUGUUCAAAGCAGGCCUUUGCUCGAAUACGUUAGCAUGGAAUAAUAGAAUAGGACGUGCGGUCCUAUUUUGUUGGUUUCUAGGACCGCCGUAAUGAUUAAUAGGGAUAGUCGGGGGCAUCAGUAUUCAAUUGUCAGAGGUGAAAUUCUUGGAUUUAUUGAAGACUAACUACUGCGAAAGCAUUUGCCAAGGAUGUUUUCAUUAAUCAGUGAACGAAAGUUAGGGGAUCGAAGACGAUCAGAUACCGUCGUAGUCUUAACCGUAAACUAUGCCGACUAGGGAUCGGGCGAUGUUUCUAUCUUGACUCGCUCGGCACCUUACGAGAAAUCAAAGUUUUGGGUUCUGGGGGGAGUAUGGUCGCAAGGCUGAAACUUAAAGAAAUGUGACGGAAGGAA